UCCAGACUCCUACGGGAGGCAGCAGUGAGGAAUAUUGGUCAAUGGGCGCGAGCCUGAACCAGCCAAGUAGCGUGAAGGAUGACUGCCCUACGGGUUGUAAACUUCUUUUAUAAAGGAAUAAAGUGAGGCACGUGUGCCUUUUUGUAUGUACUUUAUGAAUAAGGAUCGGCUAACUCCGUGCCAGCAGCCGCGGUAAUACGGAGGAUGCGAGCGUUAUCCGGAUUUAUUGGGUUUAAAGGGUGCGUAGGCGGACGCUUAAGUCAGCGGUAAAAUUGCGGGGCUCAACCUCGUCGAGCCGUUGAAACUGGGUGCCUUGAGUGGGCGAGAAGUACGCGGAAUGCGUGGUGUAGCGGUGAAAUGCAUAGAUAUCAGGAGGAACACCGGUGGCGAAGGCGGCCUGCUGGACUGCAACUGACGUUGAGGCCCGAAAGCGUGGGGAGCAAACAGGAUUAGAUACCCCAGUACAA
This 467-nucleotide ribosomal RNA is filed under the name uncultured bacterium. RNAcentral describes it as "partial 16S ribosomal RNA". It matches the Rfam family "Bacterial small subunit ribosomal RNA", at positions 330 to 797 of the family's 1533-position model. The record is from RNAcentral.